GAUGAACGCUGGCGGCGUGCCUAAUACAUGCAAGUCGAGCGAACAGACGAGAAGCUUGCUUCUCUGAUGUUAGCGGCGGACGGGUGAGUAACACGUGGAUAACCUACCUAUAAGACUGGGAUAACUUCGGGAAACCGUAGCUAAUACCGGAUAAUAUUUUGAACCGCAGGGUUCAAAAGUGAAAGACGGUCUUGCUGUCACUUAUAGAUGGAUCCGCGCUGCAUUAGCUAGUUGGUAAGGUAACGGCUUACCAAGGCAACGAUGCAUAGCCGACCUGAGAGGGUGAUCGGCCACACUGGAACUGAGACACGGUCCAGACUCCUACGGGAGGCAGCAGUAGGGAAUCUUCCGCAAUGGGCGAAAGCCUGACGGAGCAACGCCGCGUGAGUGAUGAAGGUCUUCGGAUCGUAAAACUCUGUUAUUAGGGAAGAACAUAUGUGUAAGUAACUGUGCACAUCUUGACGGUACCUAAUCAGAAAGCCACGGCUAACUACGUG
Molecule: ribosomal RNA, 497 nt
Filed under: uncultured bacterium
Lineage: Bacteria
Description: partial 16S ribosomal RNA
Rfam family: Bacterial small subunit ribosomal RNA
Source: RNAcentral